CAAGUCGCACGCGAAGACCCCGCAAGGGGUUGGUAGCGUGGCAAACGGGUGAGUAACGCGUGGGCGACCUACCUCAGAGUGGGGGAUAACCUUCCGAAAGGAGGGCUAAUACCGCAUGACAUCCCGUGUUUGGAUACACGGACAUCAAAGCCGGGGAUCGCAAGACCUGGCGCUUGGAGAGGGGCCCGCGUCCGAUUAGCUAGUUGGUGGGGUAAUGGCUCACCAAGGCUCCGAUCGGUAUCCGGCCUGAGAGGGCGGACGGACACACUGGGACUGAGACACGGCCCAGACUCCUACGGGAGGCAGCAGUGGGGAAUUGUUCGCAAUGGGCGCAAGCCUGACGACGCAACGCCGCGUGGAGGAUGAAGACCUUCGGGUCGUAAACUCCUUUCGACCGAGAUGAAUUCCCGCCGAACUAAUACGUCGGCGGGGUGACAGUAUCGAGGGAAGCAGCCCCGGCUAACUCCGUGCCAGCAGCCGCGGUAAUACGGGGGGGGCAAGCGUUGUUCGGAAUUACUGGGCGUAAAGGGUUCGUAGGUGGCCAACUAAGCCAGACGUGAAAUCCCUCAGCUUAACUGGGGAACUGCGUCUGGGACUGGAUGGCUUGAGUGCAGGAGAGGAACGCGGAAUUCCAGGUGUAGCGGUGAAAUGCGUAGAUAUCUGGAGGAACACCGGUGGCGAAGGCGGCGUUCUGGACUGCAACUGACACUGAGGAACGAAAGCCAGGGGAGCAAACGGGAUUAGAUACCCCGGUAGUCCUGGCCCUAAACGAUGAAUGCUUGGUGUGGCGGGUAUCGAU
This 799-nucleotide ribosomal RNA is filed under the name uncultured Bacillota bacterium. RNAcentral's name for it is "bacterial SSU rRNA". It matches the Rfam family "Bacterial small subunit ribosomal RNA", at positions 58 to 836 of the family's 1533-position model. Lineage: Bacteria; Bacillati; Bacillota. The record is from RNAcentral.